GUGCUCGCUUCGGCAGCACAUGUAAUAAAAACAGAAUGAUACAGAGAAGAUCAGCAGGGCCCCUGCGCAGGGAUGACAUGCAAAUCAUCUAUCUGAUAAGGGGUUGA
Neomonachus schauinslandi (Hawaiian monk seal) is the source of this 107-nucleotide small nuclear RNA. NCBI's taxonomy places the organism in Eukaryota, Metazoa, Chordata, Mammalia, Carnivora, Phocidae. The record is from RefSeq and is a predicted model, not a curated record.